AGCGAACGCUGGCGGCAGGCUUAACACAUGCAAGUCGAGCGGGAACUCUCGGGUAUCUUCGUCGUACGGGUGGGUAACGGGUGGGAACGUGCCAUCUGGUUCGGAAUAACUCAGGGAAACUUGAGCUAAUACCGGAUCCGACCUUUUGAGGACAGGCUUGCUACGGGAGGAUCGGAGCGCGUCUGAUUAGCUAGUUGGUGGGGUAACGGGGUCCCAAGGCGGCGAUUCGUAGCUGGGCUGAGAGAAUGAUCCGCCACACCGUGACUGGGACACGGGCCAGAAUCCUACGGGAGGGAGGAGUGGGGAAUACUGCACUACGGGCGCAGGGCAGAUCCAGCCAGGCUGCGUGAGCGAUGAUGGUCUUAGAGAAGAAAAGCUCUUUUAUCCGGGACGGUAAUGACGGUACCGGAAGAAUAAGCCCCGGCUAACUUCGUG
Molecule: ribosomal RNA, 435 nt
Filed under: uncultured bacterium
Lineage: Bacteria
Description: partial 16S ribosomal RNA
Rfam family: Bacterial small subunit ribosomal RNA
Source: RNAcentral